This 234-nucleotide long non-coding RNA is filed under the name Homo sapiens (human). Its description in RNAcentral is "HSALNT0090419". The record is from RNAcentral. Lineage: Eukaryota; Metazoa; Chordata; Mammalia; Primates; Hominidae.
UGUAUGGCAAAUAUUUUUUUCCCUGUUCUGUAGAAAACUUCCAAGUUGGAUUUUUAAAUCUCUAAUUUCCUAGGUGAGAUGACCUUGGGUUUUGGUUCCUGUCUCAUGCUGAUUGUAUUAUUUGUUAGGAUGGUUUCCUCUUUCUAACAAGUUUAUUUGCAAUUUACAACAGGAGGAACAUUUGCAAAAAGAAGCCCAUGUUGCUUGUGGCCCCCAAAUUAUUCCCUUUCUAGA